AAACGAACGAAGAAAUAGUAGUCAGGGUUGUCGAUCAGAAAGUGGGCGGUGAAUGCGAGCCCAACAAUCAAGCCUGGUGAACUCGUCUUUGCGUUGUCACCGUGAACGAUUAGUAGCGGUGACCGGACUGGCCGUUAUCCAGAUUGAGGGCUGCAUCUGCAGAACUUAGGUGGUACCGCGGCGAAAGUCGUCCUAAUU
Molecule: non-coding RNA, 198 nt
Filed under: Lacticaseibacillus saniviri
Lineage: Bacteria; Bacillati; Bacillota; Bacilli; Lactobacillales; Lactobacillaceae
Description: Lactobacillus saniviri T-box sequence
Rfam family: T-box leader
About the family: Uncharged tRNA acts as the effector for transcription antitermination of genes in the T-box leader family.
Source: RNAcentral